UUUGGAGACUACAAGCUUGAUUGCAGCAGCUUCAGUGCUGGGCAUUGCUCCAGGGACAUGGAACUUCUCCACGGAUCCGUGUGUAGGGGGAUGGACAGGUGUAGGCUGCUGCAGGAACAACUCACGGGCUCUGUGCUGCGCAUUCCCGCAAAUCUAUCCAGCGACACCACCGCUGACACCGUGCGAGCGGACAGCAGACGCUCAAGUCUCGACUUUGAUCCUCCGGUCUGAUCUCUUCGGCAACCAGCUCCUCAACGGAACACUUCCGGAAGCUCUGUGCAACCUUACGUCUCUGAGGAUUCUGGACGUGGGCUUCCAGCGUCUGCGUGGACAAGUUCCAGGAUGCAUUGGCAGCAGAUUGAGCAGCCUGCAAAUCCUCCGUAUGGGUGAGAACAGAUUCAGUGGCAGCAUUCCCGAAGAGCUAGGCGAAUUGAGAAGUCUCCAGCAGCUUUUUUUGGAUACAACAAAUAUCUCGGGUCCCAUUCCUGCGUCUCUGGGAAGGCUGAGCAACCUCACCAGUCUCAGCCUCUGGAGCAAUGCGCUUGAAGGUGAUCUUCCCGAGGAGAUCGGCCAGCUGAGUAACUUAGUCGCGCUCUCGCUUCAGGGAAACAGGCUUACUGGACGUAUUCCUGACAGCUAUGGCAACCUUGCCAACUUGCGAAUCUUGAGGCUUUUCAACAAUGAGCUCUCUGGAGGUAUCAGCUCGUCGGUCUUCCAAGGCAUGACUUCUCUCACGUAUGUGAGCUUGAGACACAACAGGUUCAGCGGUCCUAUCCCGGAUUUUGGCGUCGGGUUCAGCUUGAGCACGGUUGACUUGGGAUUCAAUGAAUUCUCGGGGCCACUGCCGGGUUCUCUUGGAGGUCUUUCUUCCUUGACAAGCUUGUUCAUCGAUCACAACAGGCUCAAUGGCAGUAUUCCGGACAGCUUUGGUUCUUUACCUGCGUUGGCCCAACUGGAUAUCUCACACAACAUGCUCGGGGGGUCCUUACAGUCGCUAGGAGGGAACACUCAGCUCAUGCAGUUGGAUGUUUCCUUCAACUUUUUCAACAUCUCUAGCGCUCCAGCAUCCGUCCCGCAGCAGCCAAACCUCAACGCUUACUUCAACUGCGUCCCUUCCGGUUCUUCUGGCACUUGCUCCAGCUCGCCUCCCGGUGGAAGGCCUUUCUUCGCUGUCAAUGCUGGUGGCAAUGCUUUAAGCAGCACUACAGGCAGCAGGGUCCAGGUAGCAUUCGAUUCGGACGCAAAUUCAAACAAUCAGAGCGUGGGAUUUUUCUAUGGAUCAGGACCAGGUUUAUGGGCUUUAGAAGUUUCGGGCAGUGAAGGUGGUACACUUGCGUUCCAAGGCUUCAUCAAUAUGACCGGUGCUGGGGGUACGGAGGAGGGGCUCUACCGAAGCAUGCGUUGGUCUUCCUCUUACAUCGGAUAUCACGGUUAUUCUCUAAGACCAGGAAACUAUACAGUGAUGCUCUACUUUGCCGAGCUUGUGUUCACGGAGCCGGGAUACAGGAUCUUCGACGUUGUCCUCCAAGGAAGAGUUGUGUGGGAGAACCUGGACAUUGCUAGAGAAGCUGGAGCUCAAGCAGCGUACGUGAUGAGUCGUAACAUCACCAUCAACAACAGUGGCAGCGUUUCGGUCGAGCUGGUUUACAAGGGUCGAGAUAGAUUCUCAUUAAAUCUCGGUCCCUGGGCAGUGAGAAACCCCGGCCCGAUUGUCUCGGCAAUCUCAGUCGUUUCAGUCGACUACAGGGGCGAGGGAGGGAACUCGACGUCUUUGAGCUCGGGCCAGAUAGCCGGGAUAGCACUUGGAAGUGGAGCAGCCUUGCUCAUCCUCGUAGCGUUGCUAGUGUAUAUAUGCAAAGGCAAGCGUGCUGGGGUAGCAGCUUCGACUACAACGAAUGGUCCUACAAACCAGCAAGCCUCUCUCCUGGAUGCUGGGGGCAUUUUCACAUACCAGGAGCUCCAUGACGCUACAGGAGGCUUCAAUGACAAGCUCGGAGAAGGAGGAUUUGGAGCUGUGUACAAGGGGACACUCCCAAACGGGACUGUUAUCGCUGUGAAACAGCUCGUCAAGCACUCUCAACAGGUUGAGGAGGAUUUCAAGCGAGAAAUUUCCAUCAUCAGCAAAGUCCGCCACCGGAACUUGCUGGCAGUGAUUGGCUACUCUCUUGAGUCGGACGUCCCGAUGCUCGUCUGCGAGUUUAUUCCCAAUGGGAGCUUGGAUAAGUGGCUAUUUCGUCGGCGUGAGAGUGCUUUGAGCUGGGAGGCUAGAAGAGCGAUCGCGAUCGGAGUUUCUUGUGGGCUUGCCUACUUGCAUGACGAGUCCAACCUGAGGAUCAUACACUGCGAUGUGAAGCCCGCCAACAUCCUUCUCGACGAGGAUUUCAAUCCCCGGCUCGCAGACUUUGGGCUGGCAAGGUUGUACGACGAGAGGGAGUCUCAUGUCACGGCGACGAGAUUGAAAGGCACGGCAGGCUAUCUAGCACCAGGUAAGCUUGAGUUUCUCUUCUCUUUGGAUUGUGCUUGAUUUUUCUCUUUUGAUGUUCUCGUAGAAUACGCCAUGCAACUCCAGCUCUCGGACAAAGUUGACGUAUACAGCUUUGGGGUGGUGUUGCUGGAGCUCUUGAGCGGGAGGCGUGCAGUGGAGCUCUCGGCUCCCUCGGAACAGAUCGUUCUUGUGGACUGGGCUCACAAGGAGGCCGAGAUCCCAGCGAACUUGCUGGACAUCGUGGACAGGAAGCUACAGGGGGGCUUUGUGGAGCAGGAGGCCAGGGACAUGGCCAGCAUCGCCAUCCUUUGCACGCAACGCUCGCCGGCGCUGCGUCCAAAGAUGCAGGCAGUGUGGCUCAUGCUCACGGGCGCGGUCAAGGUUCCAGAGUUCUUGGAGAACUUGACGGCAGUCAUCCCUUCUUCUUCCGGAGGAUCGACGAGCCAGACCUUGAGUUCUGGGAACUUGUCGGAGACGUCAAUCGCGGCAUUUAGAUCUUUGCGAGUCUUUGGGAGGGUUGCGAGUCCGGAGAGCUUUUCUUCCUCGAAGGCCGUGACACAGUAGAGGCUACAAGCUAAAACUCCGUGCAUGUUUCAUGCAAGCUUUCAGUUGUGGCUAAGAGCACGAUGGGGAUUCCAGACAUUCCAGCGAUGCUGAAGAUCUUCUCCUUAGCCCGCGAUAGAAGUCCAUGGAUCAAGCAGGAAGUGUUAUUUCUCACGCCAGUUUCCAUGGGAAGCGAUUGAUUGGAUGGUACAAUACUCGCUAUCAGCUUGCGAUCAGAAGAAGGUUCCAAGCAUGAGCAAGCACAAGCUAUCAACUCGUCUCUCCUUGCCGAAAAUACGGUGUCAAUGCAAAAGGUAUGAACUCUUCCUGGCGUAGUUAUUCCUGGGGACCAUAUCUGGUGGACUUCUUUGCAGGCGUUCGCUAUGGACUCCGCCGACAGAAGUUGCUCGUCUCGGGAUUUCGAAAGGGACAAGGAUAUCAAUGAAAAGUUUCACUCGUUUUGCGCUCAGCAGCCGAGAACGUGGAAGUCAAGUCCGUCAGCCAGCCAGAGCUCUUCCAAUUUCUACUGGCACUGAGGAAAGGGACCGGCCAACAACGUAUAGGAUAAGCAGCUCUUGUGGGGUCUGAUUUGCGAGUCAAGAAACACACAGGUCAGUGAGUCCUAUUCUAUCACGUUAAUUGAUUGUGUCUUUCCAGUGUAAUUCGAGGACGCCAGCGAAGACCGUCACGCGGGCCCUUGCUGAUGUGUAUGGAAGACAAUGGCAGCGGACAAAAGUACCGUGUAAAGAUUGAAGCAGAGAUAAGCGCAAGAUCGGGAUCACCUUAGUAGCAGAAGAGAUGUUCUGCCAACAGCGAUGUGGAGAAGCGUAUCAUGGCUUUCGACGAUUCUGCCCAUCUGGUUUCUUCGCAUCACGGACGGGGCAAGUGUUUUGGAGACUACAAGCUUGAUUGCAGCAGCUUCAGUGCUGGGCAUUGCUCCAGGGACAUGGAACUUCUCCACGGAUCCGUGUGUAGGGGGAUGGACAGGUGUAGGCUGCUGCAGAAACACCUCAGACGCUCUAUGCUGCGCAUUCCCGCAAAUCUAUCCGCCGACACCACCGCUGACACCGUGCGAGCGGACAGCAGACGCUCAAGUCUCGACUUUGAUCCUCCGGUCUGAUCUCUUUGGCAACCAGCUGCUCAAUGGCACUCUUCCGGAAGCUCUGUGCAACCUUACGUCUCUGAGGAUUUUGGACCUGGGCUUGCAGCGUCUGAGUGGUCAAAUUCCAGGAUGCAUUGGCAGCAGAUUGAGCGGCCUGCAAAUCCUCAGGAUUGGCGACAACAGAUUCAACGGGAGCAUUCCGGAAGAGCUAGGCG
RNAcentral lists this long non-coding RNA (4345 nucleotides) under Selaginella moellendorffii. Its description in RNAcentral is "long non-coding RNA (SMOE_LNC001892)". Lineage: Eukaryota; Viridiplantae; Streptophyta; Lycopodiopsida; Selaginellales; Selaginellaceae. The record is from RNAcentral.